AAAUGGUGUCACCUUUAUUGUUGCUCUUGUCUGCCAAUUAAUCCUAAACAUUUUUUUUUAAACACACCAAAGUCCUUGAUGUGAAGUAGUUGACACAGAUGAGCCUAUGUCACAAGGUGGUCAUGAGGUUAAGUUUUAAAGGGUCAGCAGAAGAAUUAUUAAAGCCAUGGCUUACAUAGUUCUGUUAGUGUUAGCAUGUGGAUGACAAAGAAUAACACUAUGCAAUUUAUUUCUUAUUUUAUAAGCUUGUUGACAUGAUCAAAUCCCUUAGAAGGACGUUUGAGUUCAAGGUCAGCAUGUCGUGCUGGACUGAUAUCCACUCCUGAUAGCUGAAGAGCCUUAACAUCAGCCCCUUUUUUGUGCUGUUGCAGGAGAAUGAAGUACGAGUUUCUUCGACAACAAAGUAUACUACAGCACAGAAGAUCCCGGAGGUCUUAGGUCGUCGUCCGUGAGCUUCACUCCUCAUCUAACCCUUUCUGAGAUGAAGAA
Long non-coding RNA from Etheostoma cragini (Arkansas darter), 489 nucleotides. RefSeq lists it as uncharacterized. The record is from RefSeq and is a predicted model, not a curated record. NCBI's taxonomy places the organism in Eukaryota, Metazoa, Chordata, Actinopteri, Perciformes, Percidae. The transcript is spliced from 2 exons.